UUUCUCCACUUUGCUGACGACAGUAAUAGUUUCAGAACCGUAAGCUAACAACGUCAGAUUUUGACGGUCUUUUUUUCUGAGUAAAGACCGGUUCAUACUACAGGAAAAUGUGCAAGCGAAGCAAAAUGGACACCACGAAAGAUUUGCCCCAAAACUUCGCUCGAGUUGAAAUGUGUUACACUUUUGCGAAUUCGCAGCGCGUGUAAAGGUUUGAUCUGGCCUCAUUUCUGCCUCCAACAAAUGUAAAAUCCGUUUGACCUUGACAACACUGACCAGUAUGCAUGACGCAAGUCUUAUCUCCCGGUACAUGUUGCUGAAUAUAUUAUUUAGUUUGAGACACCCACUUCUUUGAAAACUUGAAGGUUCCAUCCGAUCCUACUUACUAUAUUCAUUCUCUCAGAGGUCGAAUUAUAAUUUUCGCCCCAACUCAUGGCCUUUUAUUCAAGUUUCUCUUGUGUAUUUCAUUAGAUUUAACAAAGAAGAAAAACCAAAACACAGCCAAUUCACAUUAAACAGUAAUCAAUUACACAGCAAAGAAAAAAGACCACAUUCAGUGCUGAAUUUAGCCGAAUUUCUGUUAGAGGUAAACAUGAAUCUUUCUAAGGCAUAAUAUCUUUUUCAAUCGUAUUUAAACAAUACAGAUGAUGGUUUACCCCCCGUUCGUUUUCAUUUUAUAAAUAUGGGAGCGGCGAAGCAAAAGAAUUAAGAUGAGUACAUUCCUGGAGUUAUUUGAAAUGCGAAAAAGAUAUACAAAAUUAACGUUCAAGGUAUUUUUAAGCCAAUCGCCGAUCUGAUUCCUAAAAGAGGUGGAAAACUCACAAGUACAAAAGAGAUGCAUCAAAGUUUCACUCUCAGCUUGACAAAAAAAAAUGUCAUUAUCUCUUUUUCCUUAAAUAAAUAAGAGUUAACGGCCUAGAUUCUUUAAGUCUAUAUUGAAACCAUCGCAAUUUUAGCUAGUGUGACAUGCCUGAAAGGGCAAACUACAUAACUCCAACCAUUCAGUAAGAGGAAGAUAACAAGCCAGCUUCGUAUCUGGCCAUCUACCAAUAAAUCUAUAGCCUCGGACAACCUUCAUUGCUGAGGCACAAAUAUGAUACGGACAAGUAGAGCCCUUUUAAUCCAGCAUAAGUAACUGCAAAUUAAAAGGGGUUAGUGGAAAACAUAUAUUAGAGUUGACCCCGUUGUUCCGCGAGCCAAAUACUUACGAACUCUUUUCAAACAUGCAACCCCAUGUUACUAUGGUGGAACGUGUUACAUUGAAAACCACUUAUCAAGCCUGUAUUCAUAUUCUUUCUUCCAUCUUGGAUGUUUGAAAGUUUCAACUAACUCUUUUUUUCAGAUGUUGCAACAGCAUUGUUUUGAAUCCCUUGGGACCAGAUUAAACAGAGGCUUUUUUACAAUCGAAAUGGCUUCAUAGAAUUUUAUGACUGAAAUUCUUCAACUAUUCUUAAAUUCCCUCUAUAUCGAGGGGUAAAUUUGCUCAAAGUUGUGAUUUUAGUCGGGCGCCGCGCAGAUCACGAAAAACUCCUGUACGUACCUGAGCACGGUCCAUGUGUUUAAAUCAGCCGGCGGACAGACACACUGCAAACACGUGGGUGCGGUUAGCACACUUGCGCAUGUGUAUUCUGUAUACUGGGGUGGUUGCUUUAAUUCCUUUAUUUUCGUGACUUUGUGUACAUCAUCAAGACAACACGUAAGAAAUUACUCUCUGGGGAAUCGCUGGCACACCUACCUGCCUACGUGAUAUGGAGAGGAAGCCACUAAGAGAAGUUAACACCAGAGUCGGUGAUGACAUCAGUAGUUUAUCUCCUUUUUGUUCUUCUCAAGAAGUGGGCUCAAGAGAGACUCAAGUUCCAGUGAGGACCCAAGUGACAGCCACUGACAGUGACGAGGAGCAAGAACAGUGGAUGGAGAAAACAGCUGCUAGAAAAGCUGCCACUUGUCAGACAUAUUUACCAUCUUUGAAGAAAUCAAUUUUUACAGAUUUGGGAAGACCUCCGUCAUUGCUAGGUGAAUGCGCUGCCAUGGCUGCCUACAUGAACAUUGAGGCUGGCUAGCGUCAUGGUGCAAGUGGACUGACCGAUGAAAUUGCCAAAGUGAAGAAGCAGAUUACGUCAUAAGUAACACAGCUGUGGGUACGCCCCAGGAGAAGCAGACCAUGAUGCUGAUGACAAGAACGCCCUCGCUUCCUUCAAAGUGGAGAGAAGGAAGAUGGAGGACAAGAUUCUAUGAGACUUCACAAAGAUGAUUCAUGAGAAUGUCAAGGAGAGGAAGGUACUUGAAUAGAUGCCAGUCCUCGCCUCCAUCACUGAGGAGGAAUGGUUUCCAAGAUUGCAUGAGGGAUCCUCAUCAGAAUCUUAGGCGACGAUUCACAAAAAGGCAAGGAAAGGACAAUUAAUCUUCUCAGAGAUGCAGUUGCUUGCUUCCACCUUAGGAUGGAGCAAGUCUGUCUGCAUUUGUACACUACUCAAAGGAUCAUAUGUGGUGUUUAAUAAUUUAACCAAACGGUAUUCACAUCGCAAACAAUGAGUGUCAUUUAAUUUGGCUAUUUUAUGGCAUCAAAACAAGAAACUUUGGCCAGCUUCUUGUCCAGGUCCUUUACAGCCUUGUAAUGAUGUAUAAAAAACUGAGUUUUAACGAAGAAAUAUGAGGGCGCUGUUUAUGAGUUAGAAUGAUACCUUAGUAAUACGAGGGCGCUGUUUAUGAGUUAGAAUA
Molecule: long non-coding RNA, 2715 nt
Filed under: Acanthaster planci (crown-of-thorns starfish)
Lineage: Eukaryota; Metazoa; Echinodermata; Asteroidea; Valvatida; Acanthasteridae
Description: uncharacterized LOC110982979
Source: RNAcentral